Hydra vulgaris (swiftwater hydra) is the source of this 309-nucleotide non-coding RNA. The record is from RefSeq and is a predicted model, not a curated record. NCBI's taxonomy places the organism in Eukaryota, Metazoa, Cnidaria, Hydrozoa, Anthoathecata, Hydridae.
UAAUAAUAAUAAUAAAAGAAAUAAAUUAACCACAUAAUAAAAGUAGAAUUUCACAGCAACACCCAUAAAACAGAACUUAAGGUAGAAAUGAUGGAGUGACCUUAAGAACAGAUUCUUGGACCUAGGGAUGAAAUCUGAUUUUAGGGUGUUCGGAAGGGUGUUUCAAGAAAGGAUACACUGGUUAUGACCAUGUUGUUGAUACCAGACGAAUGAACAAAUUAAGAACUGAAUUAAGUCGUAGAAACAAAGAAUUUUGGAUGUCACUUGGAAAACUUCUUGGGCAGAAACUUCUUCGGGCAUUUAUAUAAA